This 250-nucleotide ribosomal RNA is filed under the name uncultured bacterium. RNAcentral's name for it is "partial 16S ribosomal RNA". It matches the Rfam family "Bacterial small subunit ribosomal RNA", at positions 524 to 773 of the family's 1533-position model. The record is from RNAcentral.
UACAGAGGGUGCAAGCGUUGCUCGGAAUCAUUGGGCGUAAAGGGUAGGUAGGUGGUCUUAUUUGUCAGGGGUGAAAGCCUUGGGCUCAACCUAAGAAGUGCCCCUGAAACGGUAGGACUAGAGUCUUGGAGAGGUGAGUGGAAUUCCCGGUGUAGCGGUGAAAUGCGUAGAGAUCGGGAGGAACACCAGAGGCGAAAGCGGCUCACUGGACAAGCACUGACACUCAACUACGAAAGCGUGGGUAGCAAAC